CGAAGGGGGACAACAGUUGGAAACGACUGCUAAUACCGCAUACGAUCUAAUCUCGGCAUCGAGGAUAGAUGAAAGGUGGCCUCUACAUGUAAGCUAUCACUGAAGGAGGGGAUUGCGUCUGAUCAGCUAGUUGGAGGGGUAACGGCCCACCAAGGCGAUGAUCAGUAGCCGGUCUGAGAGGAUGAACGGCCACAUUGGGACUGAGACACGGCCCAG
RNAcentral lists this ribosomal RNA (216 nucleotides) under uncultured bacterium. RNAcentral's name for it is "partial 16S ribosomal RNA". It matches the Rfam family "Bacterial small subunit ribosomal RNA", at positions 134 to 334 of the family's 1533-position model. The record is from RNAcentral.